UCGUCACACUAUCAUUAACUGAAUCCAUAGGUUAAUGAGGCGAACCGGGGGAACUGAAACAUCUAAGUACCCCGAGGAAAAGAAAUCAACCGAGAUUCCCCCAGUAGCGGCGAGCGAACGGGGAGGAGCCCAGAGCCUGAAUCAGCAUGUGUGUUAGUGGAAGCGUCUGGAAAGGCGCGCGAUACAGGGUGACAGCCCCGUACACAAAAGCGCAUGUGCUGUGAGCUCGAUGAGUAGGGCGGGACACGUGGUAUCCUGUCUGAAUAUGGGGGGACCAUCCUCCAAGGCUAAAUACUCCUGACUGACCGAUAGUGAACCAGUACCGUGAGGGAAAGGCGAAAAGAACCCCGGCGAGGGGAGUGAAAAAGAACCUGAAACCGUGUACGUACAAGCAGUGGGAGCACCCUUUGGGUGUGACUGCGUACCUUUUGUAUAAUGGGUCAGCGACUUAUAUUCUGUAGCAAGGUUAACCGAAUAGGGGAGCCGGAGGGAAACCGAGUCUUAAUUGGGCGUUAAGUUGCAGGGUAUAGACCCGAAACCCGGUGAUCUAGCCAUGGGCAGGUUGAAGGUUGGGUAACACUAACUGGAGGACCGAACCGACUAAUGUUGAAAAAUUAGCGGAUGACCUGUGGCUGGGGGUGAAAGGCCAAUCAAACCGGGAGAUAGCUGGUUCUCCCCGAAAGCUAUUUAGGUAGCGCCUCGUGAAUUCAUCUCCGGGGGUAGAGCACUGUUUCGGCUAGGGGGCCAUCCCGGCUUACCAACCCGAUGCAAACUGCGAAUACCGGAGAAUGUUAUCACGGGAGACACACGGCGGGUGCUAACGUCCGUCGUGAAGAGGGAAACAACCCAGACCGCCAGCUAAGGUCCCAAAGUCAUGGUUAAGUGGGAAACGAUGUGGGAAGGCCCAGACAGCCAGGAUGUUGGCUUAGAAGCAGCCAUCAUUUAAAGAAAGCGUAAUAGCUCACUGGUCGAGUCGGCCUGCGCGGAAGAUGUAACGGGGCUAAACCAUGCACCGAAGCUGCGGCAGCGACACUGUGUGUUGUUGGGUAGGGGAGCGUUCUGUAAGCCUGUGAAGGUGUGUCGUGAGGCAUGCUGGAGGUAUCAGAAGUGCGAAUGCUGACAUAAGUAACGAUAAAGCGGGUGAAAAGCCCGCUCGCCGGAAGACCAAGGGUUCCUGUCCAACGUUAAUCGGGGCAGGGUGAGUCGACCCCUAAGGCGAGGCCGAAAGGCGUAGUCGAUGGGAAACGGGUUAAUAUUCCCGUACUUGGUGUUACUGCGAAGGGGGGACGGAGAAGGCUAUGUUGGCCGGGCGACGGUUGUCCCGGUUUAAGCGUGUAGGCUGGUUUUCCAGGCAAAUCCGGAAAAUCAAGGCUGAGGCGUGAUGACGAGGCACUACGGUGCUGAAGCAACAAAUGCCCUGCUUCCAGGAAAAGCCUCUAAGCAUCAGGUAACAUCAAAUCGUACCCCAAACCGACACAGGUGGUCAGGUAGAGAAUACCAAGGCGCUUGAGAGAACUCGGGUGAAGGAACUAGGCAAAAUGGUGCCGUAACUUCGGGAGAAGGCACGCUGACACGUAGGUGAAGUGAUUUACUCAUGGAGCUGAAGUCAGUCGAAGAUACCAGCUGGCUGCAACUGUUUAUUAAAAACACAGCACUGUGCAAACACGAAAGUGGACGUAUACGGUGUGACGCCUGCCCGGUGCCGGAAGGUUAAUUGAUGGGGUCAGCGCAAGCGAAGCUCCUGAUCGAAGCCCCGGUAAACGGCGGCCGUAACUAUAACGGUCCUAAGGUAGCGAAAUUCCUUGUCGGGUAAGUUCCGACCUGCACGAAUGGCGUAAUGAUGGCCAGGCUGUCUCCACCCGAGACUCAGUGAAAUUGAACUCGCUGUGAAGAUGCAGUGUACCCGCGGCAAGACGGAAAGACCCCGUGAACCUUUACUAUAGCUUGACACUGAACAUUGAGCCUUGAUGUGUAGGAUAGGUGGGAGGCUUUGAAGUGUGGACGCCAGUCUGCAUGGAGCCGACCUUGAAAUACCACCCUUUAAUGUUUGAUGUUCUAACGUGGACCCGUUACCCGGGUUGCGGACAGUGUCUGGUGGGUAGUUUGACUGGGGCGGUCUCCUCCUAAAGAGUAACGGAGGAGCACGAAGGUUGGCUAAUCCUGGUCGGACAUCAGGAGGUUAGUGCAAUGGCAUAAGCCAGCUUGACUGCGAGCGUGACGGCGCGAGCAGGUGCGAAAGCAGGUCAUAGUGAUCCGGUGGUUCUGAAUGGAAGGGCCAUCGCUCAACGGAUAAAAGGUACUCCGGGGAUAACAGGCUGAUACCGCCCAAGAGUUCAUAUCGACGGCGGUGUUUGGCACCUCGAUGUCGGCUCAUCACAUCCUGGGGCUGAAGUAGGUCCCAAGGGUAUGGCUGUUCGCCAUUUAAAGUGGUACGCGAGCUGGGUUUAGAACGUCGUGAGACAGUUCGGUCCCUAUCUGCCGUGGGCGCUGGAGAACUGAGGGGGGCUGCUCCUAGUACGAGAGGACCGGAGUGGACGCAUCACUGGUGUUCGGGUUGUCAUGCCAAUGGCACUGCCCGGUAGCUAAAUGCGGAAGAGAUAAGUGCUGAAAGCAUCUAAGCACGAAACUUGCCCCGA
RNAcentral lists this ribosomal RNA (2636 nucleotides) under Salmonella enterica subsp. enterica serovar Enteritidis. Its description in RNAcentral is "partial 23S ribosomal RNA". It matches the Rfam family "Bacterial large subunit ribosomal RNA". The record is from RNAcentral. Lineage: Bacteria; Pseudomonadati; Pseudomonadota; Gammaproteobacteria; Enterobacterales; Enterobacteriaceae.